This 467-nucleotide ribosomal RNA is filed under the name Lactobacillus sp. 3B1FA1. RNAcentral's name for it is "bacterial SSU rRNA". It matches the Rfam family "Bacterial small subunit ribosomal RNA", at positions 413 to 874 of the family's 1533-position model. Lineage: Bacteria; Bacillati; Bacillota; Bacilli; Lactobacillales; Lactobacillaceae. The record is from RNAcentral.
GGUCUUCGGAUCGUAAAACCCUGUUUUAGAGAAGAAAGUGCGUGAGAGUAACUGUUCCGUUUCGACGGUAUCUAACCAAAAGCCACGGCUAACUACGUGCCAGCAGCCGCGGUAAUACGUAGGUGGCAAGCGUUAUCCGGAUUUAUUGGGCGUAAAGGGAACGCAGGCGGUCUUUUAAGUCUGAUGUGAAAGCCUUCGGCUUAACCGGAGUAGUGCAUUGGAAACUGGGAGACUUGAGUGCAGAAGAGGAGAGUGGAACUCCAUGUGUAGCGGUGAAAUGCGUAGAUAUAUGGAAGAACACCAGUGGCGAAAGCGGCUCUCUGGUCUGUAACUGACGCUGAGGUUCGAAAGCGUGGGUAGCAAACAGGAUUAGAUACCCUGGUAGUCCACGCCGUAAACGAUGAAUGCUAAGUGUUGGAGGGUUUCCGCCCUUCAGUGCUGCAGCUAACGCAAUAAGCAUUCCGCCU